UAGAAAGCAAGAAAUCAUUUCUUCAGCUGUUCAGUGAGAAUUGCCAUGUACAGCAGUCUACCUUCUCUGAGGAGCACCUUACUGCAAAUCUUGGCAAUGCUAAUCCUGGACAAAAAGACAGCGCAAAGCAGAAAAUAUUCAGGAGAAUGGGCUGAGUUCAUCUCACUCCUGGUGCCCACCAUGGAGUAUGUGCACUGUUUGUAGAAGGACUGUCUCUUCUCUCCUCAUUCAACAAUAUUCAAUGAAGAAAACUCCUGAUAUGAAAAAGAAUUCUCUCUGUGAGUAUGGAAUCCAGCAUCGGUUUUCUUGCUACGAUAGCCCAAGACAAAUGAUUACACAGAUGAUUUGUUUAAUUGACCAAGUCAGAGAGCAGUCAGCUUUGAAGAAAAAUCAUCUUGGAAAGUUUAUUAUGCCCAGUUGGAAAUAAUAAGCGAAAUGAACUUUUGGACUGAAGGAAAGUGAGCACCAUUGCUUGCUGCUAGUAUGAAGACGUGGACAUAUUUUGCCCCGCAAUUUGUCACAUAAAGACAGGACAGUGUUUUCAGGCAUUAGCAACAGCUACAUUAUCUUGGCAUUCUGGAGCUGGGCAUGAAAUUAAAUUGGCAGAGCUACAGGAAAAUUGAAGCAUCUGUACCAGAACUGUCUGAAGAGACCACUGAAAAAUAGUAUGUCAAGCACAUCUGAAUUUUUCUAAAUC
This is a long non-coding RNA of Cygnus olor (mute swan), 697 nucleotides long. RefSeq lists it as uncharacterized. The record is from RefSeq and is a predicted model, not a curated record. The transcript is spliced from 4 exons. NCBI's taxonomy places the organism in Eukaryota, Metazoa, Chordata, Aves, Anseriformes, Anatidae.